GCCUGACUCGACCGUUGUGAAUGCAUUGUUUUUCUGCUUCGAAAGAUUCCGCAGGUUAGUUCCACUUGUGUUUUCAUCUUCGUCUGUUUGAAGUAGUGCUCAUAUCGUGAUAUUUCAAUAGUGAAAUAGGACCAUCAAUCGAAGAUUCCUUGGGCAAACAGUUGACCCUCUUCGGACCACACAACAUUCGUUCGAGCACCGCCAAACAUCUCCAACCUAUGCCAAGUUAUAACUCAUUAAAAUUGGUAUGACAACUAUCAUGUUCUCCAUCAUUCUGCAUUUUGUCAUCACCGCCAAAAUUUGCGUGAGGUGGAGGUUGAGGUAGAGACUAGAGGUAGAGAGUAGAGGUAUUCGAAGACACGAGACAAGCCUUAAGGUACCCUACUUUAUUUGAGCUGAAGAAAUGCUGAACAGCUAUUACAUCAAGAUGAUCCAGCUGAAGUUCUCUAGAAAUUAAAGCCAUUUAUUGGUCAAUGACGACAAUGAGGACAGUGAUGGAAAUAUUCUUCGAAAAAUCAAGAUGAGCGGGAUUGAUUUGAAAGAAGAAGUAUUUAGCAUUUAAAAAAUAUUUUCGAUCAGAAUUGAAAAUCGAAGGUCCAGAUAUAGGAGAGUUAUAUAUAUUUUCUAAAUAUUUCGAGGUCGCUGAUUUCGAUUCUGAACUCGUUUUUCAGAAAUGAGAAUUAUUUUUGAUGCUAUGGCUCUUUCAAUUCGAGACCAUCUAAAAGGAACUAAAUUCUGACUCUUGCGGAGGUUUAAGAUUACGUUUCGAGAAAAAAGUUGCAGAAUCGAAAUCAGCAUGACAUCGUUGAUCUAUAAACCCAAUUUGAAAAAGAUACGACACAAAAAAAAAUUUCUCGCAAAUUUUUUCCUGAUGUAUAGUAAGGAAAAAAUUUUCGAUCAGAAUUGAAAUUUGAAGUUCUAGAUAUAGGAGAGUUAAAUAUGUUUUCUGAAUAUUUUGAGGUCGCUGAUUCCGAUUCUGAAAUCGUUUUCCAGAAAUGAGAAUUAUUUUUGAUGCUAUGGCUCUUUCAAUUCGAGACCAUCUAAAGGAACUAAAUUCUGACUCUUGCGGAAGUUUAAGAUUACGUUUCGAGAAAAAAGUUGCACAAUCGGAAUCAGCAUGACAUCGUUGAUCUAUAAACCCAAUUUGAAAAAGAUACGACACAAAAAAAUUUUCUCGCAAAUUUUUUCCUGAUGUAUAGUAAGGAAAAAAUUUUCGAUCAGAAUUGAAAUUUGGAGUUCUAGAUAUAGGAGAGUUAAAUAUGUUUUCUGAAAAUUUUGAGGUUGCUGAUUCCGAUUCUGAACUUGUUUUCCAGAAAUGAGAAUUAUUUUUGAUGCUAUGGCUCUUUCAAUUCGAGACCAUCUAAAGGAACUAAAUUCUGACUCUUGCGGAAGUUUAAGAUUACGUUUCGAGAAAUUUCGAGAAAAAAGUUGCAGAAUCGGAAUCAGCAUGACAUCGUUGAUCUAUAAACCCAAUUUGAAAAAGAAACGACACAAAAAAAAUUUUCUCGCAAAUUUUUUCCUGAUGUAUAGUAAGGAAAAAAUUUUCGAUCAGAAGUGAAAAUUGAAGUUCUAGAUAUAGGAGAGUUAAAUAUGUUUUCUGAAUAUUUUGAGGUCGCUGAUUCCGAUUCUGAACUCGUUUUCCAAAAAUGAGAAUUAUUUUUGAAGCUAUGGCUCUUUCAAUUCGAGACCAUCUAAAGGAACUAAAUUCUGACUCUUGCGGAGGUUUAAGAUUACGUUUCGAGAAAUUUCGAGAAAAAAGUUGCAGAAUCGGAAUCAGCAUGACAUCGUUGAUCUAAAAACCCAAUUUGAAAAAGAUACGAAACAAAAAAAAUUUUCUCGCAAAUUUUUUCCUGAUCUAUAGUAAGGAAAAAAUUUUCGAUCAGAAUUGAAAAUUGAAGUUCUAGAUAUAGGAGAGUUAAAUAUGUUUUCUGAAUAUUUUGAGGUCGCUGAUUCCGAUUCUGAACUCGUUUUCCAGAAAAGAGAAUUAUUUUUGAAGCUAUGGCUCUUUCAAUUCGAGACCAUCUAAAGGAACUAAAUUCUGACUCUUGCGGAGGUUUAAGAUUACGUUUCGAGAAAUUUCGAGAAAAAAGUUGCAGAAUCGGAAUCAGCAUGACAUCGUUGAUCUAAAAACCCAAUUUGAAAAAGAUACGAAACAAAAAAAAUUUUCUCGCAAAUUUUUUCCUGAUGUAUAGUAAGGAAAAAUUUUCGAUCAGAAUUGAAAAUUGAAGUUCUAGAUAUAGGAGAGUUAAAUAUGUUUUCUGAAUAUUUUGAGGUCGCUGAUUCCGAUUCUGAACUCGUUUUCCAGAAAAGAGAAUUAUUUUUUAUGCUAUGGCUCUUUCAAUUCGAGACCAUCUAAAGGAACUAAAUUCUGACUCUUGCGGAGGUUUAAGAUUACGUUUCGAGAAAUUUCGAGAAAAGAGUUGCAGAAUCGGAAUCAGCAUGACAUCGUUGAUCUAUAAACCCAAUUUGAAAAAGAUACGAAACAAAAAAAAUUUUCUCGCAAAUUUUUUCCUGAUGUAUAGUAAGGAAAAAAUUUUCGAUCAGAAUUGAAAAUUGAAGUUCUAGAUAUAGGAGAGUUAAAUAUGUUUUCUGAAUAUUUUGAGGUCGCUGAUUCCGAUUCUGAACUCGUUUUCCAGAAAAGAGAAUUAUUUUUUAUGCUAUGGCUCUUUCAAUUCGAGACCAUCUAAAGGAACUAAAUUCUGACUCUUGCGGAGGUUUAAGAUUACGUUUCGAGAAAUUUCGAGAAAAAAGUUGCAGAAUCGGAAUCAGCAUGACAUCGUUGAUCUAUAAACCCAAUUUGAAAAAGAUACGACACAAAAAAAAUUUUCUCGCAAAUUUUUUCCUGAUGUAUAGUAAGGAAAAAAUUUUCGAUCUGAAUUGAAAAUUGAAGUUCUAGAUAUAGAAGAGUUAAAUAUGUUUUCUGAAUAUUUUGAGGUCGCUGAUUCCGAUUCUGAACUCGUUUUCCAGAAAAGAGAAUUAUUUUUGAUGCUAUGGCUCUUUCAAUUCGAGACCAUCUAAAGGAACUAAAUUCUGACUCUUGCGGAGGUUUAAGAUUACGUUUCGAGAAAUUUCGAGAAAAAAGUUGCAGAAUCGGAAUCAGCAUGACAUCGUUGAUCUAUAAACCCAAUUUGAAAAAGAUA
This is a long non-coding RNA of Coccinella septempunctata (seven-spotted ladybird), 3140 nucleotides long. RefSeq lists it as uncharacterized. The record is from RefSeq and is a predicted model, not a curated record. NCBI's taxonomy places the organism in Eukaryota, Metazoa, Arthropoda, Insecta, Coleoptera, Coccinellidae. The transcript is spliced from 3 exons.